GGGCAGACGGGCUGGGGUUGGAGCUUGGGGUGGCCAGUGAGGCCUGACUCAGCAGGAACUGGUCCCGUUCUCUCUUGGUCCUGGUGAGUCUUUAUGGGGCGCUAGAAAGGUCCUGAUCAGGUUGAAAGUAACCCAUGGCAAACAGAAAACAUGACCCAGGGACCCAAGUGAGCCCUGCCACCUUUGGCACUAUUUUCAAGCAGCCCUGGGGAAGUCAGGACUGAGUGGAGAGGGGGCCGGGUGCACGUGUGGGUGUGGCUGGAGUUUGGUGUGCCAGCGGGUCGGGACAGGGGCGCUGUCCUGUUUCCCAGCUGUUCCCGUGCACAGGGGCGAUGGGAUCAAAAGUCUCCGCCCUCAACCACUGAGAAGAAUGGGGAAGACUCACCCUUUUCCAACAGCUUACGUCUUUGUAGACCAGGGCAUCAUCUAAGGAGAGGGGGAGAUUCUGGGUUUUUUAAAUGUUGAUGUAAAUAUGUUUAUUUAGCAAGUGUGCUGUGGGUACUCACCCAUGCGCACUGAUCGUUGAGAACAGCAGCAGUGACGAAGGCAGACGUCGUUACAGAGCGAGCUAGGUGCUCAGGAGGAAAGCUCCAGGGCAGAGCCCAGGGCCACGGGCUUGCAGGCCAGCAGGGUCUCAGACCAU
This 643-nucleotide long non-coding RNA is filed under the name Bos taurus (domestic cattle). RNAcentral describes it as "long non-coding RNA NONBTAT009338". Lineage: Eukaryota; Metazoa; Chordata; Mammalia; Artiodactyla; Bovidae. The record is from RNAcentral.